Molecule: ribosomal RNA, 555 nt
Filed under: Escherichia coli
Lineage: Bacteria; Pseudomonadati; Pseudomonadota; Gammaproteobacteria; Enterobacterales; Enterobacteriaceae
Description: partial 23S ribosomal RNA
Rfam family: Bacterial large subunit ribosomal RNA
Source: RNAcentral
GGGUUGUGAGGUUAAGCGACUAAGCGUACACGGUGGAUGCCCUGGCAGUCAGAGGCGAUGAAGGACGUGCUAAUCUGCGAUAAGCGUCGGUAAGGUGAUAUGAACCGUUAUAACCGGCGAUUUCCGAAUGGGGAAACCCAGUGUGUUUCGACACACUAUCAUUAACUGAAUCCAUAGGUUAAUGAGGCGAACCGGGGGAACUGAAACAUCUAAGUACCCCGAGGAAAAGAAAUCAACCGAGAUUCCCCCAGUAGCGGCGAGCGAACGGGGAGGAGCCCAGAGCCUGAAUCAGUGUGUGUGUUAGUGGAAGCGUCUGGAAAGGCGCGCGAUACAGGGUGACAGCCCCGUACACAAAAAUGCACAUGCUGUGAGCUCGAUGAGUAGGGCGGGACACGUGGUAUCCUGUCUGAAUAUGGGGGGACCAUCCUCCAAGGCUAAAUACUCCUGACUGACCGAUAGUGAACCAGUACCGUGAGGGAAAGGCGAAAAGAACCCCGGCGAGGGGAGUGAAAAAGAACCUGAAACCGUGUACGUACAAGCAGUGGGAGCAUGCUU